GAAGUUUCUUGGCAUUAAAAUAGUAAUGGAUCCAAAAUGUAAUCUUGGUGUUAGCGCCUUAUGGGAUAAAAAAUGCUAAAUUGCUUACCUCUGUACAUGGGAUGCACGCUGUACCAGGUGAGCUACCCAGGUUUCCUCUUCUCACGUAUAUAAUCUUUUUUAAAGUUCAGCAGUUUUAAUCUGAAGUGUAUUCAGCUAUGAAGCAUUUUAUCUUACAGGAAACGUAUUUGAGUAUUUCUCCCCCAUGUUUGUUUUUCUUGAUUGGUCUUUUUGUUCUGUGAUAGUUGGCUGGGAUGUUAGGUAUGGAAUUAGUUUUUGUCUGAUCAGAUAGCAUAUGUACACAUGCUGGAACAGCAUUACAUGCAAUAUAAUUUUUGGUCUGCUUUUGUUUAAAAA
Long non-coding RNA from Etheostoma spectabile (orangethroat darter), 396 nucleotides. RefSeq lists it as uncharacterized. The transcript has 2 exons. The record is from RefSeq and is a predicted model, not a curated record. NCBI's taxonomy places the organism in Eukaryota, Metazoa, Chordata, Actinopteri, Perciformes, Percidae.